GCAGGCUGAAACCCGCCUGUAUGAAGUUGGAAUCGCUAGUAAUCGCGGAUCAGAAUGCCGCGGUGAAUACGUUCCCGGGUCUUGUACACACCGCCCGUCGCACCAUGGGAGUCGGAAAUGCCCGAAGCCAGUGACCCAACUGAAAGGAGGGAGCUGUCGAAGGCAGGUCUGAUAACUGGGGUGAAGUCGUAACAAGGUAUC
This 201-nucleotide ribosomal RNA is filed under the name uncultured bacterium. RNAcentral describes it as "partial 16S ribosomal RNA". It matches the Rfam family "Bacterial small subunit ribosomal RNA", at positions 1300 to 1500 of the family's 1533-position model. The record is from RNAcentral.